Myotis lucifugus (little brown bat) is the source of this 74-nucleotide non-coding RNA. The record is from Rfam. NCBI's taxonomy places the organism in Eukaryota, Metazoa, Chordata, Mammalia, Chiroptera, Vespertilionidae.
GGUGGUUCUCCGGUGAAGCAGCCCAGAAUCGGGCUCCCUCCUCUCUGUUCUGGGUGCAUCACUCGAGAACCUCA